UGGGGAAUAUUGCACAAUGGGCGCAAGCCUGAUGCAGCCAUGCCGCGUGUGUGAAGAAGGCCUUCGGGUUGUAAAGCACUUUCAGCGGGGAGGAAGGCGUUAAGGUUAAUAACCUUGGCGAUUGACGUUACCCGCAGAAGAAGCACCGGCUAACUCCGUGCCAGCAGCCGCGGUAAUACGGAGGGUGCAAGCGUUAAUCGGAAUUACUGGGCGUAAAGCGCACGCAGGCGGUCUGUCAAGUCGGAUGUGAAAUCCCCGGGCUCAACCUGGGAACUGCAUUCGGAACUGGCAGGCUAGAGUCUUGUAGAGGGGGGUAGAAUUCCAUGUGUAGCGGUGAAAUGCGUAGAGAUGUGGAGGAAUACCGGUGGCGAAGGCGGCCCCCUGGACAAAGACUGACGCUCAGGUGCGAAAGCGUGGGGAGCAAACAGG
RNAcentral lists this ribosomal RNA (429 nucleotides) under Chloroflexota bacterium. Its description in RNAcentral is "Chloroflexi bacterium partial 16S ribosomal RNA". It matches the Rfam family "Bacterial small subunit ribosomal RNA", at positions 355 to 776 of the family's 1533-position model. Lineage: Bacteria; Bacillati; Chloroflexota. The record is from RNAcentral.